UUCUUGGCUAGAGUUGUAUUGC
RNAcentral lists this microRNA (22 nucleotides) under Solanum lycopersicum (tomato). RNAcentral's name for it is "sly-miR6026". The record is from miRBase by way of RNAcentral. RNAcentral also lists the same sequence under 1 other name. Lineage: Eukaryota; Viridiplantae; Streptophyta; Magnoliopsida; Solanales; Solanaceae.